AUUGAACGCUGGCGGCAGGCUUAACACAUGCAAGUCGAGCGGGGUGAUGGUGCUUGCACUAUCACUUAGCGGCGGACGGGUGAGUAAUGCUUAGGAAUCUGCCUAUUAGUGGGGGACAACAUCUCGAAAGGGAUGCUAAUACCGCAUACGUCCUACGGGAGGAAGCAGGGGAUCACUUGUGACCUUGCGCUAAUAGAUGAGCCUAAGUCGGAUUAGCUAGUUGGUGGGGUAAAGGCCUACCAAGGCGACGAUCUGUAGCGGGUCUGAGAGGAUGAUCCGCCACACUGGGACUGAGACACGGCCCAGACUCCUACGGGAGGCAGCAGUGAGGAAUAUUGGACAAUGGGGGGAACCCUGAUCCAGCCAUGCCGCGUGUGUGAAGAAGGCCUUAUGGUUGUAAAGCACUUUAAGCGAGGAGGAGGCUCUUUUGGUUAAUACCCAAGAUGAGUGGACGUUACUCGCAGAAUAAGCACCGGCUAACUCUGUGCCAGCCGCCGCGGUAA
RNAcentral lists this ribosomal RNA (503 nucleotides) under uncultured bacterium. Its description in RNAcentral is "partial 16S ribosomal RNA". It matches the Rfam family "Bacterial small subunit ribosomal RNA", at positions 30 to 523 of the family's 1533-position model. The record is from RNAcentral.